This 218-nucleotide long non-coding RNA is filed under the name Microcebus murinus (gray mouse lemur). RNAcentral describes it as "lncRNA (ENSMICG00000048863.1)". The record is from RNAcentral. Lineage: Eukaryota; Metazoa; Chordata; Mammalia; Primates; Cheirogaleidae.
CGGAGACACACGUAAGAGCCCCAGAGGCCUCAGAAAAAGCCCAGACAGGCCGAAGAAAUAAAAUGCCUUGGGAAGGCCUUGAGCACCUACCGCCUCCACUCUCCUGAGCUGAAGUCCCAGCACCCCAUGAAGGGGAUGCAGCUGCCCUGCAACUUCUCCAGUGCUGCCCACCGGCACAACAUGGGUGGCCUGCAAGCUGUGCUGAUUGCUAUCCCCGC